AGUGAACGCUGGCGGUAGGCCUAACACAUGCAAGUCGACCGGCAGCACAGUAAGAGCUUCCUCUUACGGAUGACGACUGGCGGACGUUUCCUGAAUGCUUCGGACUCUACUUUUUCGUGGAUGAUAACGUAUGGUAACUUACUCUAAUACCGCAUACGACCUACGAGUGAAAUAAGCGCAUCGUCGGACCUUUCGCGCUUGAAUGAGCCUUUGUCGGGUUAGAUCGUUGGCGGGGUAAAGGCCCACGAAGGCGACGUUGCGUGGCAGGUCUGAGAGGAUGAUCAGCCACACUGGAACUGAGACACGGUCCAGACGCCUACGGGAGGCAGCAGUGGGGAAUAGUGGAGCAUGGGCGCAAACCUGAUGCAGCCAGACCGAGUGGGUGAAGAAGGCCUUCGGGUUGUAAAGCCCUGUUGUUGGGAAAGAAAAGCAGCAGGUUAAUACCACGCUGUUAUGACGGUACCAAAAGAAGAAGCACCGGCUAAAUUCGUG
RNAcentral lists this ribosomal RNA (492 nucleotides) under uncultured bacterium. RNAcentral's name for it is "partial 16S ribosomal RNA". It matches the Rfam family "Bacterial small subunit ribosomal RNA", at positions 29 to 507 of the family's 1533-position model. The record is from RNAcentral.